This 327-nucleotide ribosomal RNA is filed under the name uncultured eukaryote. RNAcentral's name for it is "partial 18S ribosomal RNA". It matches the Rfam family "Eukaryotic small subunit ribosomal RNA", at positions 1470 to 1796 of the family's 1831-position model. The record is from RNAcentral.
CCCUUAGAUGUUCUGGGCCGCACGCGCGCUACACUGAUGCAUUCAACGAGUUUCUUCCUGGUCCGAGAGGAAUGGGUAACCUUUUGAAAGUGCAUCGUGAUAGGGAUAGACUAUUGCAAUUAUUGGUCUUCAACGAGGAAUUCCUAGUAGACGUAGUUCAUCAGACUGCAUCGAUUACGUCCCUGCCCUUUGUACACACCGCCCGUCGCUCCUACCGAUUGAAUGGUCCGGUGAGGCUUUGGGAUCUGAGCGGAAAGAGCGUUUCGCUGUUUCUGCCCGGAAAACUCAGUCGAACCUUAUCAUUUAGAGGAAGGAGAAGUCGUAACA